RNAcentral lists this ribosomal RNA (507 nucleotides) under uncultured bacterium. RNAcentral describes it as "bacterial SSU rRNA". It matches the Rfam family "Bacterial small subunit ribosomal RNA", at positions 28 to 492 of the family's 1533-position model. The record is from RNAcentral.
GACGAACGCUGGCGGCGUGCCUAAUACAUGCAAGUCGAACGCACUCUCGUUUAGAUUGAAGGAGCUUGCUCCUGAUUGAUAAACAUUUGAGUGAGUGGCGGACGGGUGAGUAACACGUGGGUAACCUGCCCUAAAGUGGGGGAUAACAUUUGGAAACAGAUGCUAAAUACCGCAUAAAACCUAAACACCGCAUGGUGUAGGGUUGAAAGAUGGUUUCGGCUAUCACUUUAGGAUGGACCCGCGGUGCAUUAGUUAGUUGGUGAGGUAAAGGCUCACCAAGACCGUGAUGCAUAGCCGACCUGAGAGGGUAAUCGGCCACACUGGGACUGAGACACGGCCCAGACUCCUACGGGAGGCAGCAGUAGGGAAUCUUCCACAAUGGACGAAAGUCUGAUGGAGCAACGCCGCGUGAGUGAAGAAGGUUUUCGGAUCGUAAAACUCUGUUGUUGGAGAAGAAUGUAUCUGAUAGUAACUGAUCAGGUAGUGACGGUAUCCAACCAGAAAGCC